RNAcentral lists this small RNA (508 nucleotides) under uncultured Entrophospora. Its description in RNAcentral is "SSU rRNA". It matches the Rfam family "Eukaryotic small subunit ribosomal RNA", at positions 569 to 1075 of the family's 1831-position model. Lineage: Eukaryota; Fungi; Glomeromycota; Glomeromycetes; Entrophosporales; Entrophosporaceae. The record is from RNAcentral.
AGCAGCCGCGGUAAUUCCAGCUCCAAUAGCGUAUAUUAAAGUUGUUGCAGUUAAAAAGCUCGUAGUUGAAUUUCGGGAUUGACACAUCGGUCGUGCCUUAAGGGGUAUGAACUGGUGUAGCCAAUUUCUCACCUUCUGGAGAACCGCGAUGCCCUUAAUUGGGUGUCACGGGGAACCAGGACCUUUACUUUGAAAAAAUUAGAGUGUUUAAAGCAGGCAUUUUGCUUGAAUACAUUAGCAUGGAAUAAUAAAAUAGGACGGCAUGAUUCUAUUUUGUUGGUUUCUAGGAUCACCGUAAUGAUUAAUAGGGAUAGUUGGGGGCAUUAGUAUUCAAUUGUCAGAGGUGAAAUUCUUGGAUUUAUUGAAGACUAACUACUGCGAAAGCAUUUGCCAAGGAUGUUUUCAUUAAUCAAGAACGAAAGUUAGGGGAUCGAAGACGAUCAGAUACCGUCGUAGUCUUAACCAUAAACUAUGCCGACUAGGAAUCAGACGAUGUUAAUUUUUUAAU